Molecule: transfer RNA, 75 nt
Filed under: Actinomycetes bacterium
Lineage: Bacteria; Bacillati; Actinomycetota; Actinomycetes
Also listed under: 2 other names
Description: Actinobacteria bacterium tRNA-Lys
Rfam family: tRNA
About the family: Transfer RNA (tRNA) molecules are approximately 80 nucleotides in length. Their secondary structure includes four short double-helical elements and three loops (D, anti-codon, and T loops). Further hydrogen bonds mediate the characteristic L-shaped molecular structure. tRNAs have two regions of fundamental functional importance: the anti-codon, which is responsible for specific mRNA codon recognition, and the 3' end, to which the tRNAs corresponding amino acid is attached (by aminoacyl-tRNA synthetases). tRNAs cope with the degeneracy of the genetic code in two manners: having more than one tRNA (with a specific anti-codon) for a particular amino acid; and 'wobble' base-pairing, i.e. permitting non-standard base-pairing at the 3rd anti-codon position.
Source: RNAcentral
GGGCCCUUAGCUCAGCCCGGUUAGAGCGGCAGACUCUUAAUCUGCGCGUCACAGGUUCGAAUCCUGUAGGGCCCA